GGGCCGAGUUGUGCUGUCGCGCGGUAUGUCGCCGAAAGGUAUUACCGUGAGGAAAGUCCGGGCUUCACAGGGCAGGAUAACGGAUAACGUCCGCCGAGGGUGACCUCCGGGAAAGUGCAACAGAAAAGAACCGCCUAUGCAAAUAGGUAAGGAUGAAAAGGCGAGGUAAGAGCUCACCGGCAGUCUGGUAACAGCCUGCAAGUGUAAACCCUAUCCGAAGCAACACCCAAUGGGAGAUGUCUGCCCGACAGUUUGAUCCCACGGGUGGCACAGAGUCUGUCGGUAACGGCAGAACAAGAUAGAUGACAGUAGCAGAGCAAUCUGAACAGAACCCGGCUUAUAGGCUCGGCCCAACU
This 356-nucleotide RNase P RNA is filed under the name Clostridia bacterium. Its description in RNAcentral is "RNase P RNA component class A". It matches the Rfam family "Bacterial RNase P class A". Rfam says of the family: Ribonuclease P (RNase P) is a ubiquitous endoribonuclease, found in archaea, bacteria and eukarya as well as chloroplasts and mitochondria. Its best characterised activity is the generation of mature 5'-ends of tRNAs by cleaving the 5'-leader elements of precursor-tRNAs. Cellular RNase Ps are ribonucleoproteins. The record is from RNAcentral. Lineage: Bacteria; Bacillati; Bacillota; Clostridia.